UACGAAGGGGGCUAGCGUUGCUCGGAAUUACUGGGCGUAAAGGGCGCGUAGGCGGCCUGUUAAGUCGAACGUGAAAUCCCCGGGCUCAACCCGGGAACUGCGUCCGAUACUGGCAGGCUUGAAUCCGGGAGAGGGAUGUGGAAUUCCAGGUGUAGCGGUGAAAUGCGUAGAGAUCAGGAGGAACACCCAUGGCGAAGGCAGCUCUCUGGUCGACCUCUGACGCUGAGACGCGAAAGCGUGGGGAGCGAACGGG
This 253-nucleotide ribosomal RNA is filed under the name uncultured bacterium. RNAcentral describes it as "partial 16S ribosomal RNA". It matches the Rfam family "Bacterial small subunit ribosomal RNA", at positions 524 to 776 of the family's 1533-position model. The record is from RNAcentral.